ACGGGUGGCUGCAGUCGGGAAUAUUGCGCAAUGGAGGAAACUCUGACGCAGUGACGCCGCGUAUAGGAAGAAGGUUUUCGGAUUGUAAACUAUUGUCGUGAGGGAAGAAAUUGACAGUACCUCAGGAGGAAGCUCCGGCUAACUAUGUGCCAGCAGCCGCGGUAAUACAUAGGGAGCAAGCGUUAUCCGGAUUUAUUGGGUGUAAAUGGUGCGUAGACGGGAAAUUAAGUUAGUUGUGAAAUCCCUUGGCUUAACUGAGGAACUGCAACUAAAACUGGUUUUCUUGAGUACUGGAGAGGAAAGUGGAAUUCCUAGUGUAGCGGUGAAAUGCGUAGAUAUUAGGAGGAACACCAGUGGCGAAGGCGGCUUUCUGGACUGUAACUGACGCUGAGGCACGAAAGUGUGGGGAGCAAACAGGAUUAGAUACCCUUGUAGUC
This 437-nucleotide ribosomal RNA is filed under the name Salmonella enterica subsp. enterica serovar Montevideo. Its description in RNAcentral is "bacterial SSU rRNA". It matches the Rfam family "Bacterial small subunit ribosomal RNA", at positions 341 to 795 of the family's 1533-position model. The record is from RNAcentral. Lineage: Bacteria; Pseudomonadati; Pseudomonadota; Gammaproteobacteria; Enterobacterales; Enterobacteriaceae.